RNAcentral lists this ribosomal RNA (777 nucleotides) under uncultured Neocallimastigales. Its description in RNAcentral is "partial large subunit ribosomal RNA". It matches the Rfam family "Eukaryotic large subunit ribosomal RNA", at positions 23 to 647 of the family's 3401-position model. The record is from RNAcentral. Lineage: Eukaryota; Fungi; Neocallimastigomycota; Neocallimastigomycetes; Neocallimastigales.
UAGAGAGAGACAUGCGCGCAUAUCAAUAAGCGGAGGAAAAGAAACUAACAAGGAUUCCCCUAGUAACGGCGAGUGAAGCGGGAAGAGCUCAAAUUUGAAAUCUUAAAGGGUUUCCCUUUACGAAUUGUAGUUUAAAGAAGUGUUUUCUGUUGAGGUUUUGGUAAAAGUUCUUUGGAAUAGGACAUCAUAGAGGGUGAGAAUCCCGUAUUUGACCUUUACUUUCAACUUUGUGAUACACUUUCAAAGAGUCGGAUUGUUUGGGAAUGCAGUCCAAAAUGGGUGGUAAAUUUCAUCUAAAGCUAAAUAUUGGCGAGAGACCGAUAGCGAACAAGUACCGUGAGGGAAAGGAUGAAAAGAACUUUGAAAAGAGAGUUAAACAGUACGUGAAAUUGUCAAAAGGGAAGCGUUUGACACCAGUGUUGUUUUUCUGAAAAUCAAUUAAAGAACUGUUUAUGCUAAGCUGUUUAGACUUUAUCAGCUAAUCUGUUUAGUUUUGAGCUUUUCUUUAAUGCACUUUUCAGUUAACAAGUCAACAUCAAUUUCUUUUGCUGUAAAAAAGCUUGAGGAAGGUGGCUUGAGAUUCGUCUUAAGUGUUUAUAGCCUCUUGCCUAUGCAGUCGGAGAGAUUGAGGUCUGCAGCGUAGAUCCUUCGGGGCUAAAUGCAUUUGUGCUAAGUUAUAGCAUUUUAUAGACAACUUGUUGACUAUGAUUUGUCUUGUAGCUUACUCGCUUAUGUUAUUUUACCUACGCUUAGGAUGUUGACGCAUGAGAUAUACGC